CAUUUGUAUUAUCCUUCUUCUGUGAUAGAAACAGUACUAACAGCUAUUUUAUGUUUACUCCCAUGCAGUUUUGCGCUCAGUGGAAACUCCGUGCUGCUGCUUUCCUAGAAACUCAAGGAAAUCUUAUGAAAUUAUUUUUUGGAAUAUCUUAUAAUAACAAACACCAAACAAGGGAUAAUCUGGUGAAAUUUUUUCAGAGACAAUACAAUAUAAAGAGGGAUGACUGCAUUGUCAUUGUAGAAACAGUAUUACUGAGGGCCAUAUGUCAAUGAACACUUCUUAGAAACCAGGACUGCAAACCAGGUUCUCCGACCUGCCAAUGGCACUCACCAUAGUGAGAAAGCAGUGUUCCCUCCUGGCUCUAGCUGAUCUUUGAUUUUAUUGCUUACCCAACAUCUUCCCAGACCACCUGAUGGAUAAAAAGGCCAUUGGAUAAGGCUAUUUUGAGAAGUUGCCUCUGGCUGUACAGAAACCAUUAGUCUGAG
This 485-nucleotide long non-coding RNA is filed under the name Aotus nancymaae (Ma's night monkey). RNAcentral describes it as "lncRNA (ENSANAG00000039318.1)". Lineage: Eukaryota; Metazoa; Chordata; Mammalia; Primates; Aotidae. The record is from RNAcentral.